RNAcentral lists this ribosomal RNA (330 nucleotides) under uncultured bacterium. RNAcentral's name for it is "bacterial SSU rRNA". It matches the Rfam family "Bacterial small subunit ribosomal RNA", at positions 568 to 897 of the family's 1533-position model. The record is from RNAcentral.
CGCGUAGGCGGCCAUCUUUGUCAGGCGUGAAAGCCCCGGGCUCAACCCGGGAACUGCGCUUGGGACGGGGUGGCUUGAGUUCGGGAGAGGAGAGUGGAAUUCCCAGUGUAGAGGUGAAAUUCGUAGAUAUUGGGAAGAACACCGGUGGCGAAGGCGGCUCUCUGGACCGAUACUGACGCUGAGGCGCGAAAGCGUGGGGAGCAAACAGGAUUAGAUACCCUGGUAGUCCACGCUGUAAACGAUGUGUGCUAGACGUUGGGAAGCCUAGCUUCUCGGUGUCGCAGCUAACGCGGUAAGCACACCGCCUGGGGAGUACGGCCGCAAGGUUAA